GCGGGAUUAGUUUAAUGGUAAAACCUCAGUUUUCCAAACUGAUGUCAUCAGUUCGAUUCUGAUAUUCCGCUCCA
This 74-nucleotide transfer RNA is filed under the name Polaromonas sp. RNAcentral's name for it is "tRNA-Gly". It matches the Rfam family "tRNA". Rfam says of the family: Transfer RNA (tRNA) molecules are approximately 80 nucleotides in length. Their secondary structure includes four short double-helical elements and three loops (D, anti-codon, and T loops). Lineage: Bacteria; Pseudomonadati; Pseudomonadota; Betaproteobacteria; Burkholderiales; Comamonadaceae. RNAcentral also lists the same sequence under 2 other names. The record is from RNAcentral.